RNAcentral lists this ribosomal RNA (721 nucleotides) under Eucoilinae gen. sp. 1 JLM-2017. RNAcentral describes it as "SSU rRNA". It matches the Rfam family "Eukaryotic small subunit ribosomal RNA", at positions 477 to 1157 of the family's 1831-position model. The record is from RNAcentral. Lineage: Eukaryota; Metazoa; Arthropoda; Insecta; Hymenoptera; Figitidae.
UAACGAUACGGGACUCAUCCGAGGCCCCGUAAUCGGAAUGAGUACACUUUAAAUCCUUUAACGAGGAUCAAUUGGAGGGCAAGUCUGGUGCCAGCAGCCGCGGUAAUUCCAGCUCCAAUAGCGUAUAUUAAAGUUGUUGCGGUUAAAAAGCUCGUAGUUGAAUCUGUGUCGCACGCUGUCGGUUCGCCGCUCGCGGUGUUUAACUGACAUGCUCGUGAGACGUCCUACCGGUGGGCUUAGCUCCUUCGGGGGCGGUCCAACUAAUAUCCCAUCGCGGUGCUCUUAAUUGAGUGUCGAGGUGGGCCGGUACGUUUACUUUGAACAAAUUAGAGUGCUUAAAGCAGGCUACUUUCGCCUGAAUAAUCUGUGCAUGGAAUAAUGGAAUAGGACCUCGGUUCUAUUUUGUUGGUUUUCGGAAAUCCGAGGUAAUGAUUAAUAGGGACAGAUGGGGGCAUUCGUAUUGCGACGUUAGAGGUGAAAUUCUUGGAUCGUCGCAAGACGGACAGAAGCGAAAGCAUUUGCCAAAAAUGUUUUCAUUAAUCAAGAACGAAAGUUAGAGGUUCGAAGGCGAUCAGAUACCGCCCUAGUUCUAACCAUAAACGAUGCCAGCUAGCGAUCCGCCGAAGUUCCUCCGAUGACUCGGCGGGCAGCUUCCGGGAAACCAAAGCUUUUGGGUUCCGGGGGAAGUAUGGUUGCAAAGCUGAAACUUAAAGGAAUUGAC